This 497-nucleotide ribosomal RNA is filed under the name uncultured bacterium. RNAcentral's name for it is "partial 16S ribosomal RNA". It matches the Rfam family "Bacterial small subunit ribosomal RNA", at positions 28 to 507 of the family's 1533-position model. The record is from RNAcentral.
GAUGAACGCUGGCGGCGUGCCUAAUACAUGCAAGUCGAGCGAACGGACGAGAAGCUUGCUUCUCUGAUGUUAGCGGCGGACGGGUGAGUAACACGUGGAUAACCUACCUAUAAGGCUGGGAUAACUUCGGGAAACCGGAGCUAAUACCGGAUAAUAUUUUGAACCGCAUGGUUCAAAAGUGAAAGACGGUCUUGCUGUCACUUAUAGAUGGAUCCGCGCUGCAUUAGCUAGUUGGUAAGGUAACGGCUUACCAAGGCAACGAUGCAUAGCCGACCUGAGAGGGUGAUCGGCCACACUGGAACUGAGACACGGUCCAGACUCCUACGGGAGGCAGCAGUAGGGAAUCUUCCGCAAUGGGCGAAAGCCUGACGGGGCAACGCCGCGUGAGUGAUGAAGGUCUUCGGAUCGUAAAACUCUGUUAUUAGGGAAGAACAUAUGUGUAAGUAACUGUGCACAUCUUGACGGUACCUAAUCAGAAAGCCACGGCUAACUACGUG